This 365-nucleotide ribosomal RNA is filed under the name uncultured archaeon. RNAcentral's name for it is "bacterial SSU rRNA". The stretch from base 1 to 283 matches the Rfam family "Archaeal small subunit ribosomal RNA", at positions 1061 to 1343 of the family's 1478-position model. The record is from RNAcentral.
CGGUUUGCCGCAUGUCCUCCGGGAUGGUGGGGACACUGUUGGGACCGCCUCUGCUAAAGAGGAGGAAGGAAUGGGCAACGGUAGGUCAGCAUGCCCCGAAUUAUCCGGGCUACACGCGGGCUACAAUGGGCAGGACAAUGGGUUUCGACACCGAAAGGUGAAGGCAAUCUCUUAAACCUGCUCGUAGUUCGGAUUGCGGGUUGCAACUCGCCCGCAUGAAGCUGGAAUCUGUAGUAAUCGCGUCUCAAAAUGGCGCGGUGAAUAUGUCCCUGCUCCUUGCACAAAAAUCCUCUGCCUUGGGUCCCUGCUCCUUGCACACCAACAGCAUAUUUCGGAUAUAAGUCUCUAUUUUUUCAAUUGUACAC